Molecule: ribosomal RNA, 647 nt
Filed under: Limosilactobacillus fermentum
Lineage: Bacteria; Bacillati; Bacillota; Bacilli; Lactobacillales; Lactobacillaceae
Description: bacterial SSU rRNA
Rfam family: Bacterial small subunit ribosomal RNA
Source: RNAcentral
GUCGAACGCGUUGGCCCAAUUGAUUGAUGGUGCUUGCACCUGAUUGAUUUUGGUCGCCAACGAGUGGCGGACGGGUGAGUAACACGUAGGUAACCUGCCCAGAAGCGGGGGACAACAUUUGGAAACAGAUGCUAAUACCGCAUAACAGCGUUGUUCGCAUGAACAACGCUUAAAAGAUGGCUUCUCGCUAUCACUUCUGGAUGGACCUGCGGUGCAUUAGCUUGUUGGUGGGGUAACGGCCUACCAAGGCGAUGAUGCAUAGCCGAGUUGAGAGACUGAUCGGCCACAAUGGGACUGAGACACGGCCCAUACUCCUACGGGAGGCAGCAGUAGGGAAUCUUCCACAAUGGGCGCAAGCCUGAUGGAGCAACACCGCGUGAGUGAAGAAGGGUUUCGGCUCGUAAAGCUCUGUUGUUAAAGAAGAACACGUAUGAGAGUAACUGUUCAUACGUUGACGGUAUUUAACCAGAAAGUCACGGCUAACUACGUGCCAGCAGCCGCGGUAAUACGUAGGUGGCAAGCGUUAUCCGGAUUUAUUGGGCGUAAAGAGAGUGCAGGCGGUUUUCUAAGUCUGAUGUGAAAGCCUUCGGCUUAACCGGAGAAGUGCAUCGGAAACUGGAUAACUUGAGUGCAGAAAAAGGGUAGUG